This 1154-nucleotide ribosomal RNA is filed under the name Bacillus sp. TA_FN. RNAcentral's name for it is "bacterial SSU rRNA". It matches the Rfam family "Bacterial small subunit ribosomal RNA", at positions 202 to 1347 of the family's 1533-position model. Lineage: Bacteria; Bacillati; Bacillota; Bacilli; Caryophanales; Bacillaceae. The record is from RNAcentral.
AGGUGGUUUGGGUUACCAUUUCAGGAUGGCCCCGGGGCGCAUUAGUUAGUUGGUGAGGUAACGGCUCACCAAGGCGACGAUGCGUAGCCGACCUGAGAGGGUGAUCGGCCACACUGGGACUGAGACACGGCCCAGACUCCUACGGGAGGCAGCAGUAGGGAAUCUUCCGCAAUGGACGAAAGUCUGACGGAGCAACGCCGCGUGAGUGAUGAAGGUUUUCGGAUCGUAAAGCUCUGUUGUUAGGGAAGAACAAGUGCCGUUCAAAUAGGGCGGCACCUUGACGGUACCUAACCAGAAAGCCACGGCUAACUACGUGCCAGCAGCCGCGGUAAUACGUAGGUGGCAAGCGUUGUCCGGAAUUAUUGGGCGUAAAGGGCUCCAGGCGGUUUCUUAAGUCUGAUGUGAAAGCCCCCGGCUCAACCGGGGAGGGUCAUUGGAAACUGGGGAACUUGAGUGCAGAAGAGGAGAGUGGAAUUCCACGUGUAGCGGUGAAAUGCGUAGAGAUGUGGAGGAACACCAGUGGCGAAGGCGACUCUCUGGUCUGUAACUGACGCUGAGGAGCGAAAGCGUGGGGAGCGAACAGGAUUAGAUACCCUGGUAGUCCACGCCGUAAACGAUGAGUGCUAAGUGUUAGGGGGUUUCCGCCCCUUAGUGCUGCAGCUAACGCAUUAAGCACUCCGCCUGGGGAGUACGGUCGCAAGACUGAAACUCAAAGGAAUUGACGGGGGCCCGCACAAGCGGUGGAGCAUGUGGUUUAAUUCGAAGCAACGCGAAGAACCUUACCAGGUCUUGACAUCCUCUGACAAUCCUAGAGAUAGGACGUCCCCUUCGGGGGCAGAGUGACAGGUGGUGCAUGGUUGUCGUCAGCUCGUGUCGUGAGAUGUUGGGUUAAGUCCCGCAACGAGCGCAACCCUUGAUCUUAGUUGCCAGCAUUCAGUUGGGCACUCUAAGGUGACUGCCGGUGACAAACCGGAGGAAGGUGGGGAUGACGUCAAAUCAUCAUGCCCCUUAUGACCUGGGCUACACACGUGCUACAAUGGACAGAACAAAGGGCAGCGAAACCGCGAGGUUAAGCCAAUCCCACAAAUCUGUUCUCAGUUCGGAUCGCAGUCUGCAACUCGACUGCGUGAAGCUGGAAUCGCUAGUAAUCGCGG